RNAcentral lists this ribosomal RNA (270 nucleotides) under uncultured bacterium. RNAcentral describes it as "partial 16S ribosomal RNA". It matches the Rfam family "Bacterial small subunit ribosomal RNA", at positions 501 to 770 of the family's 1533-position model. The record is from RNAcentral.
CUACGUGCCAGCAGCCGCGGUAAUACGUAGGUGGCAAGCGUUAUCCGGAUUUACUGGGUGUAAAGGGCGUGUAGGCGGGACUGCAAGUCAGAUGUGAAAACUAUGGGCUCAACCCAUAGCCUGCAUUUGAAACUGUAGUUCUUGAGUGCUGGAGAGGCAAUCGGAAUUCCGUGUGUAGCGGUGAAAUGCAUAGAUAUACGGAGGAACACCAGUGGCGAAGGCGGAUUGCUGGACAGUAACUGACGCUGAGGCGCGAAAGCGUGGGGAGCA